Molecule: ribosomal RNA, 253 nt
Filed under: uncultured bacterium
Lineage: Bacteria
Description: partial 16S ribosomal RNA
Rfam family: Bacterial small subunit ribosomal RNA
Source: RNAcentral
GACGUAGGAUGCAAGCGUUGUCCGGAAUUAUUGGGCGUAAAGAGUUCGUAGGUGGUAUGUUAAGUCUGGUGUUAAAUCCCGAAGCUCAACUUCGGAUCAGCACUGGAUACUGGCAAACUAGAGUGCAGUAGAGGCAAGGGGAAUUCCUAGUGUAGCGGUGAAAUGCGUAGAUAUUAGGAGGAACACCGGUGGCGUAAGCGCCUUGCUGGGCUGUAACUGACGCUGAGGAACGAAAGCCAGGGGAGCAAAUGGG